UACGGAGGGUGCAAGCGUUAUCCGGAUUCACUGGGUUUAAAGGGUGUGUAGGCGGAUUUUUAAGUCAGUGGUGAAAUCUCCGGGCUCAACCCGGAAACUGCCAUUGAUACUAUUAGUCUUGAAUUCUGUUGAGGUGGGCGGAAUACAUCAUGUAGCGGUGAAAUGCUUAGAUAUGAUGUAGAACACCGAUUGCGAAGGCAGCUCACUAAGCAGACAUUGACGCUGAGGCGCGAAAGCUAGGGGAGCAAACGGG
Molecule: ribosomal RNA, 253 nt
Filed under: uncultured bacterium
Lineage: Bacteria
Description: partial 16S ribosomal RNA
Rfam family: Bacterial small subunit ribosomal RNA
Source: RNAcentral